AGAGUUUGAUUCUGGCUCAGGAUGAACGACUAGCUACAGGCUUAACACAUAGCAAGUCGAGGGGCAGCAUGAGAUAGCUUGCUAUUCAGAUGGCGACCGGCGCACGGGUGAGUAACGCGUAUCCAACCUUCCCUAUAGUAGAGAAUAGCCCGGCGAAAAGUCGGAGUUAAUGCUCUAUGUUGUUCAAUGCGGACAUCUAAGUUGAACCAAAGGCUUGCCGCUAUAGGAUGGGGAUGCGUCUGAUUAGGUUGUUGGCGGGGUAACGGCCCACCAAGCCAUCGAUCAGUAGGGGUUCUGAGAGGAAGGUCCCCCACAUUGGAACUGAGACACGGUCCAAACUCCUACGGGAGGCAGCAGUGAGGAAUAUUGGUCAAUGGGCGAGAGCCUGAACCAGCCAAAAGUAGCGUGCAGGAUGACGGCCCUAUGGGUUGUAAACUGCUUUUAUACGGGGAUAAAGUGAGGGACGUGUCCCUUUUUGUAGGUACCGUAUGAAUAAGGACCGGCUAAUUCCGUGCCAGCCGCCGC
Molecule: ribosomal RNA, 525 nt
Filed under: uncultured bacterium
Lineage: Bacteria
Description: bacterial SSU rRNA
Rfam family: Bacterial small subunit ribosomal RNA
Source: RNAcentral